AAGCGCUUGUGACCAGACUUGCGCCCGGUUGAUCAUCCAGCGUUCUCGCUGGUGCACUCUGCCGGGCUCAGGCCAGCAUCGGUUUCUCGCGGGGGAUAAAAGCGGUGGGAACGUAGCUCCUCCGGGAGUGUUAUAGCCCGCUGUAAAAUAUCCUGCGAGGGACCGAGGUUCGCGCAUCUGCAAGGAUGCUGGCGUAAUGGUCAUCAGCG
RNAcentral lists this ribosomal RNA (209 nucleotides) under Orbiliaceae sp. RNAcentral describes it as "partial large subunit ribosomal RNA". The record is from RNAcentral. Lineage: Eukaryota; Fungi; Ascomycota; Orbiliomycetes; Orbiliales; Orbiliaceae.